AUCUUAUUAUGGUUAAUUGUGCAUAUAAUAACUUGACCAAAUGGUAUAUAUAAACAUCUGAAAAUGUAGUUUGGUAAUUGAAAUUCAGUCAGUCCAAACACUGAAAAAGAAUCCACAAAAUGCUGUUUGUUGCUGUUCUAUUCGUUGUAUAUGUAAACAGUGCUGUUUACGCUUCGUCCUGUCCUUCAUACGGCUGUAGAGACCACUACACAAGGUGUAGUGUCUUGGCCCGUAAUGGACUAUGCAGAAUUUACAGUAAAAGCUGUUGUAAAAGUUGUAGUGGUUGUAAAGACAGGAGCUCAAAGUGUAGUUACUGGGCUAAAAUAGGAGAAUGCUAUAAAAGCCCAGAGUUCAUGCAUACAACGUGUUGUAAAAGUUG
Molecule: long non-coding RNA, 379 nt
Organism: Mytilus californianus (California mussel)
Lineage: Eukaryota; Metazoa; Mollusca; Bivalvia; Mytilida; Mytilidae
Exons: 4
Source: RefSeq, a predicted model, not a curated record